Molecule: transfer-messenger RNA, 347 nt
Filed under: Candidatus Egerieenecus merdigallinarum
Lineage: Bacteria; Bacillati; Bacillota; Clostridia; Eubacteriales
Also listed under: 1 other name
Rfam family: transfer-messenger RNA
About the family: Bacterial tmRNA, also known as 10Sa RNA or SsrA, is named for its dual tRNA and mRNA-like properties.
Source: RNAcentral
GGGGAUGAUCCGGUUUCGACGGGGGUUGUCGGGGACAGGAUAAGCGAGCCGCGGACCCUGUACCGCGUAACAACGGGGAAAAACAAGAACUGACAAUAGCGAUUUCGCUUUCGCGGCCUAACGCCGCGACGCCAGCCCGGCCUGCCCGCGUGGCCGGUUCCUGACGUCAUUUACGCGGGGAACGAGAACGCCUAAGCUUUGUAGCGUGCUUGUAUUCAUGAAGCUACUGAUGCCUUCAGCCUGUCCGCGGGCGUAAGGCGGAGGGAAUGUUAAAUCACGGACUGCGCUCGGAGAAAGUCCUGUAAACGAGCCUUCGGACAGGAGUUCGACUCUCCUCAUCUCCACGU